UCAAUUUGUGCAGACUCUACAUCCUUAAGAACAGCCAAAAAUUCUUUCACUUUGGAUUUUGUUAGCUGAUUAAGAGAUGUGGAUUGCAACUCUUGAACCACAGUGCAAAGGCAUUCAAGAUAAUAAGCACGCAAGGAAGUUGAUUCUAACCGACAGUUUGCUGCUAUAUCUCCAUACUUGUCAAGGAUUAACUGUAAGAUAGGAGCAGCACUUGGUCUCACAUGAUAUUUUCCUAUUGACACACAGGAAUCAGAAAUAACAGACUGAAUUUCAUCAUCACUCUCUUCUGAAGCUCGGGAAAUGCCUGAAAAAGUGAAGUUCAGAGACUCAGCAGCAGGACCAUUAGUCAUCUCCACAUUCUUAGCGAUCGGAGAUGAAGCUUCCUCUGGUGAAGCAUGAAGCUUUUCAUUGUCCUCUGGAUUGGUUGGCGGCGCAAUGGCGAAACAGGUAAAACCACCAAGUGAUAGGUUUUUGGUACCAUUAGGCGUUAGAUUUCCAGAUGUAGGCACAAAUUCAGUGGCUCGAACUUGUCCCUUGCCAAAAGAAUGAUCUUGAGAGUAAGCUUCUUCAGAAUGUUGCCGGGAUGAUGAUGAAGAUUGACUGUUCUCUGGUUCCACCUUGUUUUUAGCGGGAAAAGAUGAUCGAGGUGACUGAGUGUCAGCAGGGUACACUGCUUUAACAGCAGAAAUAUUGUUUUGAGGGGACCUUGGCUGAGAUUCAGACCCCUUCUUCUUCCUGCCGAAGCUUCGAGAAGCUUCAAGAAUGAAAGAGCCUGCAAGAGCAAUAAAGAAUAGCUAAAAUUUCUAUUGAAGAAUUAUCUAACUUGGGAGUGGACGCAUCUCCAUUUUUAUUACAUAGACUAGGAAAAAAUUCAAGGGCCACGGAGGCAUUCACUAACUCUUGAAUAAAGUAAAUUGAAUUCGAACUAUAUACUCCUUUUGCAGACAAAUUUAAGGAUACCAGAGUUAAGAAUGUAAAUUCUUUAGUUUAGUGCAAGAGAAAACUGUCUACAUUUUCUUUGCCCAUUUAUGUAGAUAACUGUCCAAUCAAAUUACUUUUCCUUAAAAAAAUGUCUAAUUUCCAGACAAUAUGGCCAAUACAGAAUGAAAUACUGAAAAUAUAUCAAUUAACAUCAGAAAAUGCAAGCACUUCCAGACACUUUUAUCUGUUAAAAGACUGUUAAUUAUUAGAUCUCCUAAAAUCACCUUAGUUCAAUGAAUGAUACCAAAAAAACAAAUAAGCAACAUGCCUUUAUCUACAAUUACUCAUAGGAAAUGUUUUCAUAAUCCCCUAUAAAGUUUAUCAAAUUGCAACAAGAAACUGAAUCUUUUAGCCAAUGAAGAGUUAUUACACCCUCCUCCUAGGUCCUCUAUCUCCUAUUUGUUUAUCUUUCUUGUGAUUGUCAUUUCCAUUAUAAUUAGAUUUAUGUAAAUUCUAUGACUCGCUGUUAUUUUUCCACUUGUAAGUGCAUGUUACCACCCCCAUCAAACCAAAAAGGAUAUAGUGUUAUGUCUCUAAAGCCAUUCCAGAUGAUCAAAUGAGCAUUAGCAUUUGAAAGGGGGAAGAAACCUGAUUCUUUGUUAGCCCCCCGAGGCUUGGCCUCAGCAGUUCUAUAAGAGCAAAAUUUGCCACAUUGAUGGUAAGGAUUAGAUGCUUUAGGGCAAGUUGAGUCUGCUCUCCUUUCUCCAUCCAUCUUUUUGCUAAGGCCACCUCCUUUUAUACCAUUGCGAUAAUCUAAAAAACGAAAGAAGUAAAUACACCUGUGUUUAGAAAAUGUUUAGCAGAUCACAUAAACACAUUAUAUGGUCCGGCAAAAUUUAUGUUAGCCCCACAGCCCCAGUAUUUUCUUGUUUACAAGGCCUAAAUAUCAAGACGAGUGAGACAAUAACUAUUAAAAUGAGGAUGUGGAGUCCAGUGGUCUUAUUUAUUUAUUUUUGUCCUUGAUUAAAUCAUUAUUGGUAAAUACCUGUUUAGCAUUGACGAGCCAAAAAUUAGCAACUGAAGGUGCCAAGAUGUCACACUAGUUGGCAGAAUCUAUUGCACUAGGCUUAUUAAGUCCAAAGACUACUCUUUUCUCAUAAAGUCACUGUUAAAGCGCAAAGACCAUGAAGGCUAUGGCCUAAAUUGGGCAAUACUCCAAGGGGUGAAAGCACGUAUGGAGGGCAACAAUGGCUUGAAUGGCAUGCCUAAGGUUUAAUAUAUUCAUUAUUUUAAGACAAGAAAAGAUGUUGCAUUUACUGACCUCACCUGGUUAGACUAAGUCUGCAUAAAUAUUCAACUAAAAUAAGGUAUUAAAGAGACAAAACAUAGUAUGCACUGAAUCCCAUUUAUUUACAUUUAGAGUUCAUCUUCUAAGAUAAACUAAACGGAUUUAACCCAAAAUCGUUUAG
This 2390-nucleotide unclassified non-coding RNA is filed under the name Hevea brasiliensis (rubber tree). The record is from RNAcentral. Lineage: Eukaryota; Viridiplantae; Streptophyta; Magnoliopsida; Malpighiales; Euphorbiaceae.